CGCCCGGGUUUGGCCGGUGUAGACCGUCAUUGUAAAUAAGAAUUUGUUCUUAACUGACUUGCCUAGUUAAAURAAGGAUAAAGAAAGAAAAAUKUAAAUCGUGUUGCCAGUGGGGUGAUUUUGUGUGGUGGUAUUAAGCAUUGUUUAGUAGAGAACAAGGAAAUGUACGCAGAGUGCGGAUGUUUCUGAAGAAUACACAGCCCUGUCAGCUUCCAUGCCAAAGACCACAAGGCCGUAGCAUAUGUGUAUGCACGUGAGUAUGUGCUUGAAUUUAUGCAUUCAUGUGAAAGUGUGUGAGUGUGUGUGUGUGUGUGCGUGCACUAACUUUCUCCUGAUGCUAUGCAGCUGCUCUAUCUAACAGAGCAACCAAGCACAGUAUUCAUCACCAAAGAUAACAUAAAGGACAACUGUCAUCGGCUCUGGGGAGGCAUCUGCUGGAACAGUGCCGCAGGUUGAACUCUGGCUGACUUUCAUGCAGGGAUGGGCCAAAGAGGUGUUAUUUUGUGGAAUGUCAUGGAUUCACUUCCAGSGAGAGAUGAGGAGAGAUGUUCCCAAUAUAUGGACGUGAAUGCAUCAUUAUUUGUUAAUCAUGAGCAUUACUCCAAUAAACUCCUCAUUCAUUGUGUUACAAAUCCUUUGAAGGAUAAACUACAAAGUUCAAUGCGAGGUCAACCCAAAGCUAUGAAGUCAAGUGUGAAAACAGUAUUAUUUACGUGAAAUGAUGCAAGAAACAAUACAUGUCAUGCUGCAUGUUAGUUCACUGUGUAUGUGUUUUGUCGGGGCAUGGACUCUACAAGGUGUCGAAAGCGUUCCACAGGGAUGCAACUCAUGGAAAGAGUAGGUGUCCUUAAUGUUUUGUACACUCAGUGCAUAUCUUUGCAUUUGCAAGUCUUAUUUUUAGAAGGAAAACAGAUGGGACUAUGUUGUKUCUGACUGUGUAUAUGGUUCAGAUAUUUAAGAGUAUGUUGUGUCAUGACACAGCAUGUGCAAUGCAGAUGUAGAGUUAAUACAGUGGUUUAAAGUUGACAUAAAUAAAACAUAAAAGGUUAUACCAAAAGUU
This is a non-coding RNA of Salvelinus sp. IW2-2015, 1060 nucleotides long. The record is from RefSeq and is a predicted model, not a curated record. NCBI's taxonomy places the organism in Eukaryota, Metazoa, Chordata, Actinopteri, Salmoniformes, Salmonidae.